RNAcentral lists this long non-coding RNA (231 nucleotides) under Manihot esculenta (cassava). RNAcentral's name for it is "long non-coding RNA (MESC_LNC002174)". Lineage: Eukaryota; Viridiplantae; Streptophyta; Magnoliopsida; Malpighiales; Euphorbiaceae. The record is from RNAcentral.
ACCCCAAUAGCCCUAGCUCUGUGUAAGACCUGGCCGGGCCAGGCAGCCUUCUGUAGGUAAGACCUGGCUAGGCCAGGCAGCAGAUUAUCGUAAGACCUGGCCGGGCCAGGCGAGCAGAGUUUGUAAGACCUGGCUGGGCCAGGCAAAUUGAGGUUGUAAGACCUGGCUAGGCCAGGCAUCCUCCCAGUGGGAAUUUUGGUGGUCAUGUCUGUCCUUGAGAUGAAAUGUCUG